Sphaeramia orbicularis (orbiculate cardinalfish) is the source of this 414-nucleotide long non-coding RNA. RefSeq lists it as uncharacterized. NCBI's taxonomy places the organism in Eukaryota, Metazoa, Chordata, Actinopteri, Kurtiformes, Apogonidae. The record is from RefSeq and is a predicted model, not a curated record. The transcript has 3 exons.
AAUCAGGCGGUGUUAACAUUUUUAUUAAGACGACCUACGCCAACACAGAUACCAAGAGUAUAAAAGCUUCAUGCAAAAUGUAUUAUGAGACUCUACGGAGAAAGUUUACACUUUCACAGCUGGAUAAAGCCCAUCUGAAGGACAACGUCAGAGCUGGAGCUAAAAGCAGGCAGAGAAAAAGAACACUGCUGGAGUCCAGGACAAGGAUGAUCCAAACCCGUGAGGAAAGUGAAAUCUGGCAGAGAGCCUCUCUAGAGUUAAUGUCAGACAAAGAAGACGACAUCCUCAAUGGGCAAACCCGUGUGGAUUGUCUGGUCUCCUCUAAAUAGGAGCCAACAGUUAACAGACCUUUGCCGCAGUCUUCAGCGAUGGCUGAAAUCAGACCCACGCUAUGCACUUAUGCAUCACUACCGC